UACACAUGCAGUCGAGCGGUAGAGAGAAGCUUGCUUCUCUUGAGAGCGGCGGACGGGUGAGUAAUGCCUAGGAAUCUGCCUGGUAGUGGGGGAUAACGUUCGGAAACGGACGCUAAUACCGCAUACGUCCUACGGGAGAAAGCAGGGGACCUUCGGGCCUUGCGCUAUCAGAUGAGCCUAGGUCGGAUUAGCUAGUUGGUGGGGUAAUGGCUCACCAAGGCGACGAUCCGUAACUGGUCUGAGAGGAUGAUCAGUCACACUGGAACUGAGACACGGUCCAGACUCCUACGGGAGGCAGCAGUGGGGAAUAUUGGACAAUGGGCGAAAGCCUGAUCCAGCCAUGCCGCGUGUGUGAAGAAGGUCUUCGGAUUGUAAAGCACUUUAAGUUGGGAGGAAGGGCAGUAAAUUAAUACUUUGCUGUUUUGACGUUACCGACAGAAUAAGCACCGGCUAACUCUGUG
RNAcentral lists this ribosomal RNA (461 nucleotides) under Pseudomonas sp. RNAcentral describes it as "bacterial SSU rRNA". It matches the Rfam family "Bacterial small subunit ribosomal RNA", at positions 50 to 507 of the family's 1533-position model. The record is from RNAcentral. Lineage: Bacteria; Pseudomonadati; Pseudomonadota; Gammaproteobacteria; Pseudomonadales; Pseudomonadaceae.